CGGUUAAUUAGUGGAAGACGUGUGAUGAAAACGUGACAGUUGGCAGUGUACCGUGUAUUGUGGUGUUAGGCGCUCAAGUGUGUUCGGUUAAUGUUGAGUGAUUUCUCAAAUGUCGACCUCAGAUCAGACGAGAUCACCCGCUAAAUUUAAGCAUAUCAAUAAGCGGUGGAAAAGAAACGAAAACGAAUUCUCCGAGUAGCGGCGAGCGAAACGAGAGCAGUCCAUACACCGAAGUCGGCGAGCAGUUGUGUUCGUCAACAGUGUGGUGUUAAAGGUGUCGUUGCAUGUGCUGAAAUCGGUUCGUAGGCUCCCUUGAUUGGGGCUUCAGAGCGGGUGCAGGACCCAUAACGAACGAUGUUUUGUGCAUGGUGUCGCGGCUCCUAAUCGAGUCGGGUUGCUUGAGACUGCAGCCCAAAGCGGGUGGUAAAUCUCACCCAAGACUAAAUAUUCGUACGAGACCGAUAGCGAACAAGUACCGCGAGGGAAAGUUGAAAAGAACUCUGAAGAGAGAGUUCAACAGGACGUGAAACCGUUGACAGGCAAACGGAUGGAGCUGACGGUGCAAUUUUGACCAAAAUCAGUCGUCGCUGUGUUCGUUGGCGAAUGAAUCUUUUGCAAACUUGUUUGUGUAGAUUAUCUUUCGUUUCGAAUGUACGCACGGUGCACUUUUGGUCGAUUAGCGUCACGAGCAACGUUCGCAUUUUUUGCUGCCGACAGUAAUUGUGUUUGUUGUUUUAAAAGCAACAAACAAUAAAGGCGGUUUGUGGAAGAGGUAAUUGUGGUAAAGACUUGUGCUUUUGUCUCAAUUGCCGUGCCAAUGCCGCAUCUGUCGGAUGAAUGUUGUUGUUGACAAGUUGAAGAGCAUUGUUCUGCGUACAAUUGUAAUGGGUCUGUUGGUGCCGUUGCGUUCGUGGGUUUCGGCUCACGAUUUGUCUGGUACGUCGGGAAAAAAGUCAAUUAUGAAUGUAAUUGAUCUGGCUACCGUGCGUAACGGUAUUCAAAUGUGUGUAUGAUGGACUUUAUUUGCAAUCGGCGCUCAAUGUGUUUUCUUUUAUCGGUGGCGUCAAUGUUAGCCUCCCAUCCGACCCGUCUUGAAACACGGACCAAGGAGUUCAGUAGGCACGCGAGUCGUUGACGUUUUUCAUUGAACAGUCGAAGGCGAAAUGAAAGUGUUCAUGAAAAUGAACAGUACUUUUCUAUGGAGUGCUGCUCGUUUUCAACAUGAUCGUCCUUUUUUGUGCUUAAUUGUGCAAAAUUGAUAGAUGGGGACCACUGUUCUUUCUUUCUCUUCGGGGUUGGAGGAACAAUUGUCGAUCAGUCGGUUUCGGAGCGUGCACACUGGUACCCGAAAGAUGGUGAACUAUGCUUGAGCAGAAUGAAGCCAGAGGAAACUCUGGUGGAAGUUCGUAGCGGUGUUGACGUGCAAAUCACUCGUCUGACUUGAGUGUAGGGGCGAAAGACUAAUCGAACCAUCUAGUUGCUUGUAACAAUUUUAUCCGGUAGAGCGAAUGAUUAGAGGUGUUGGGAACGCAAUGUUCUCAGCCUAUUCUCAAACUUCGAAUGGGUAAGCAAGGCGUUUUGCUUUGAUUUUACGAUGAAAUCGCCCAAUUAGAAUGCAUAAAUGCCUAGUGGGCCAAUUUUGGUAAGCAGAACUGGCGAUGUGGAAUGAACCAAAAGUCAGGUUAAGGUGCCAGACAUUGGCGCUCAUGAAAUACCAGAAAAGGUGUUGGUCGAUAUAGACAGCAGGACGGUGGCCAUGGAAGUUGGAAUCCGCCAAGGAGUGUGUAACAACUCACCUGCCGAAUCGACUAGCCCUGAAAAUGGAUAGCGUUUGAGCGCCAGGCCCAUACCUGACCGUCUCAAUUACGCACUUUUUUCUUUUUUGAAAAAGGUGUAAUGAACGUUGAGACGGGUAGGAAGGUCGCGACAGUGUUGCUUUGAAGAGUUUUGAGCGUGAGCUCGCUCGGAGCCGCUGUUGGUGCAGAUCUUGGUGGUAGUAGCAAAUAUUCAAGUGAGAACCUUGAAGGCUGAAGUGGAGCAAGGUUCCAUGUGAACAGCAGUUGGACAUGGGUCAGUCGAUCCUAAGAAAACGGCGAAAGCUUGUUCGAAUUUGCGACAUGAAUUGUAAGACUGUGUGUGUUUAUUGUGUGUGCGUGUGCAGUUGUCGUAUGUUUUCGAAAGGGAAUCCGGUUGAUAUUCCGGAACCGAGUAACGGAGACAAAGAGUAGCGCUUUAAUCUCUCUGUGGGGUUGGCGUUCAACUCAAUCGCGCGGUAACGCAAGCGAACUCGGAAAAUGACCGUCGUGAGUUUCGAAAAGAGUUUUCUUUUCUUUUUAAGGGACGCAUUCCCUGGAACCGGGUUGUCCGGAGAUAGGGAUUCUGGUAUCCAUAAAACGCCGACUUUUUCACGGUGUUCGGAGCGCUCUCGUCGGUACGUGAAAAUCCGAGCGACGCCUGGUAAAUCUCGUACUUGGUCGUACUGAUAUCCGCAGCAGGUCUCCAAGGUGAAUAGCCUCUGGCCGAUAGAAUAAUGUAGGUAAGGGAAGUCGGCAAAACGGAUCCGUAACUUCGGAACAAGGAUUGGCUCUAAGGGCUGGGCCGAUCGGGCUGAGGUUUCAAGCGUGCAGUGUAUGCUUGGCUGAGUUGUGUUGAGGACUUGUUCACUUGCCGCCGUUUGUUCGGUUGGUCUAGUGUAUUCGAGUCUGAAGCAGAGCUGGCCGACAGACCGGCACGUGCAGAACCUGAGCUGCGCGGCUGUCCGUUUACGUGUACAGACCGUUUCGGUCGGCAUUAACAAAGCAUUGCGAUGGCCGAUGAUCGGUGAUGACGCAAUGUGAUUUCUGCCCAGUGCUCUGAAUGUCAAAGUGAAGAAAUUCAAUCAAGCGCGGGUAAACGGCGGGAGUAACUAUGACUCUCUUAAGGUAGCCAAAUGCCUCGUCAUCUAAUUAGUGACGCGUAUGAAUGGAUCAACAAGAUUCCUUCUGUCCCUAUCUACUAUCUAGCGAAACCACAGCCAAGGGAACGGGCUUGGCAAAAUCAGCGGGGAAAGAAGACCCUGUUGAGCUUGACUCUAGUCUGACUCUGUGAAGAGACAUGAAAGGUGUAGCAUAGGUGGGAGAUU
RNAcentral lists this ribosomal RNA (3121 nucleotides) under Trichinella sp. T9. RNAcentral describes it as "eukaryotic LSU rRNA". It matches the Rfam family "Eukaryotic large subunit ribosomal RNA", at positions 1 to 2478 of the family's 3401-position model. Lineage: Eukaryota; Metazoa; Nematoda; Enoplea; Trichinellida; Trichinellidae. The record is from RNAcentral.